AUUUAUAUAGUUUAAAUAAAACCUUACAUUUUCACUGUAAAAAUAAAAAUUUAUUUUUUAUAAAUA
Molecule: transfer RNA, 66 nt
Filed under: Culiseta inconspicua
Lineage: Eukaryota; Metazoa; Arthropoda; Insecta; Diptera; Culicidae
Description: tRNA-Glu
Source: RNAcentral